UAGGGAAUCAUCCGCAAUGGGCGAAAGCCUGACGGUGCAACGCCGCGUGAGUGAUGAAGGUUUUCGGAUCGUAAAGCUCUGUUGACAGGGAAGAACCCACGUCAGUUGAACAGGCUGGCGUGCUGACGGUACCUGUCCAGAAAGCCCCGGCUAACUACGUGCCAGCAGCCGCGGUAAUACGUAGGGGGCAAGCGUUGUCCGGAAUUAUUGGGCGUAAAGGGCACGCAGGCGGUUUCGUCAGUCCGAUGUGACAGGCCACGGCUCAACCGUGGAAGGCCAUUGGAAACUGCGAAACUUGAGGACAGAAGAGGAGAGUGGAAUUCCACGUGUAGCGGUGAAAUGCGUAGAUAUGUGGAGGAACACCAGUGGCGAAGGCGACUCUCUGGUCUGUACCUGACGCUGAGGUGCGAAAGCAUGGGGAGCAAACAGGAUUAGAUACCCUGGUAGUCCAUGCCGUAAACGCUGAGUGCUAGGUGUUAGGGGUUUCGAUACCCGUAGUGCCGAAGCUAACGCA
RNAcentral lists this ribosomal RNA (514 nucleotides) under uncultured bacterium. RNAcentral describes it as "bacterial SSU rRNA". It matches the Rfam family "Bacterial small subunit ribosomal RNA", at positions 355 to 859 of the family's 1533-position model. The record is from RNAcentral.